This 468-nucleotide ribosomal RNA is filed under the name uncultured bacterium. RNAcentral's name for it is "partial 16S ribosomal RNA". It matches the Rfam family "Bacterial small subunit ribosomal RNA", at positions 28 to 507 of the family's 1533-position model. The record is from RNAcentral.
GACGAACGCUGGCGGCGUGCUUAACACAUGCAAGUCGAGCGGAAAGGCCCUGCUUUUGUGGGGUGCUCGAGUGGCGGACGGGUGAGUAACACGUGAGUAACCUGCCCUUGACUUUGGGAUAACUUCAGGAAACUGGGGCUAAUACCGGAUAGGAGCUCCUGCUGCAUGGUGGGGGUUGGAAAGUUUCGGCGGUUGGGGAUGGACUCGCGGCUUAUCAGCUUGUUGGUGGGGUAGUGGCUUACCAAGGCUUUGACGGGUAGCCGGCCUGAGAGGGUGACCGGCCACAUUGGGACUGAGAUACGGCCCAGACUCCUACGGGAGGCAGCAGUGGGGAAUAUUGCACAAUGGGCGGAAGCCUGAUGCAGCAACGCCGCGUGCGGGAUGACGGCCUUCGGGUUGUAAACCGCUUUCGCCUGUGACGAAGCGUGAGUGACGGUAAUGGGUAAAGAAGCACCGGCUAACUACGUG